GUGUCAGCAGCCGCGGUAAUACGAAGGAUUCGAGCGUUAUCCGGAUUUAUUGGGUUUAAAGGGUGCGUAGGCGGACUGAUAAGUCAGUGGUGAAAGCCUGUUGCUUAACAACAGAACUGCCAUUGAUACUGCCAGUCUUGAGUACAGUUGAGGUAGGCGGAAUGUGUCAUGUAGUGGUGAAAUACUUAGAUAUGACACAGAACACCGAUUGCGAAGGCAGCUUGCUAAACUGUAACUGACGCUGAGGCACGAAAGCAUGGGGAGCAAACAGGAUUAGAAACCCCUGUAGUCC
This 292-nucleotide ribosomal RNA is filed under the name uncultured bacterium. RNAcentral describes it as "partial 16S ribosomal RNA". It matches the Rfam family "Bacterial small subunit ribosomal RNA", at positions 505 to 796 of the family's 1533-position model. The record is from RNAcentral.